UACGUAGGGGGCAAGCGUUGUCCGGAUUUAUUGGGCGUAAAGAGCGCGUAGGCGGCCAAACAGGUCAGCUGUGAAAACUCGAGGCUCAACCUCGAGACGUCGGUUGAAACCGUAUGGCUAGAGUCCGGAAGAGGAGAGUGGAAUUCCCGGUGUAGCGGUGAAAUGCGCAGAUAUCGGGAAGAACACCCGUGGCGAAGGCGGCUCUCUGGGACGGUACUGACGCUGAGACGCGAAAGCGUGGGGAGCAAACAGG
Molecule: ribosomal RNA, 253 nt
Filed under: uncultured bacterium
Lineage: Bacteria
Description: partial 16S ribosomal RNA
Rfam family: Bacterial small subunit ribosomal RNA
Source: RNAcentral